GUUCCAGGACUGAAUCUCCGUCGAACUGAAGGCGAGGAAGACGAGCCACGUGACGGUGUACAUAACGCCGGUCAUCCAGAACACUGUCUGCCACUCCUGAAGGGAUGUAACGUUUCUCCUCCUGGCUGAUCCGCGGGUGCUCGCUGGGGCAGUCGUGCAUCAGGAGGGCCCAGGCGGCAACCCACACCAGGGACGCCGCGCCGCUGAUGUAGAAAACAGCGGGCCACCCCAUCGUGUCGGCCACCACGGCGCACACGGCUGCUGAAUGCAUGGUCGGGGUUGGAGAACUCAGUAUUUUAGUGGCAGCUGCUGCUCGCCCUGGCUAAAUACGCUGUCAGACUUCUGACGCAGCAAGGAUACAGCACGCGAUAAAAUACUUCAAGCACGAGUACUAAGUCCUACAAACCAUCUAUCAGGGGGAAGUGAAAUGAAGAUGACAGCAGCGCGCAAGUGGAAAUGCAGUGGAAUAAAGAAGAAAAGAAAGACGAGAAGGAAUAUAAAGAACGCCAUGAGAGAGGGAGGGGAAGGAGAAAGACCAACAAGAAGAUAAAACAUGAAGACAUCUCACAUUGGUGGCGAAGUAGCCGUAGAAGAAGGCACCGAGGACCAUCCCCUUCUCCGUACCCGUCAAGGACAGCUGUGAGGACCAAAACAAAGCACUACAGACCAUCCCAAGCCCGGUACCAAAAAAUCCUGCUGAUCAAACAUGGACACACUGACAGGAACUCAACAUCACACCCACAUUCACACACCCGAGAGGCGGGACACAGCCACGACUCACACCCGCCACCCGAUUUCAAGCAACUGAAAGAAACCGUCCCUGAGCCAGACUGUCCAAAAGGGUCGAACCAGCUGAGCAUGGCGACGACGUGCUUCCUGCUCCUCCUCCUCCUCUCGGCGGCCAAGACGUCAUCACACCGUAGCCUCCUGAUAGUUUGUUGCUAGUCUCUGGUUUGAAGGAGAGUGAGGCAUCAACAAGAGAGGUUAUCACUCACCCAGGACCUGUGCCUUGGCCUGGAGGCUGGUAAGGGAGGCCACCUCAGGCCAGGCUGACUGUACCAUGUUGACCCACUGUGGUGGCUUGACGUCCCGCACAGUGAGGGCUGGUUUGGGCAGCAGGUACUUCACUUCCUUCAUGGUGGGCACCUCCUCAAGGUCAGCGGCACGGUGCAGCAGUGCCGCCACCUUGGCUAUGUCAUACUGCAGCAUAGGCCAUGAAAGAUAGUAGCAGCCCCAAGUGACGUGACUCACAAUGACUUCCUGCUGCAGCUGCUCCCCUGGUGUGACGAGCAGAAGGCCUUCUAGGUAGUCUGGGGCAAUCUGGUUAAACACGACCUCAUAGUAGAGAGGAUUGUCCAGACGCAGAGGGUAGUACCAAACACUCCGGCAGAAGAUCAAGUAGAACACCUGUUCAAGAUGUCAAAAGAAGUGAGGUAGCAGUGGUUGAAAAGCAGAUACCAAGAGACUUAACUGAUGUGAACAUUCUUCUCUAUCCUAUAAGUUUUAGACUAAAUGUUCUGCUGGAAAAAAAAACAAGUGCUAGACAUACAGAAAGGAACAAGGGGCACAAAGAUAGCUCAGUGGGCUGCUAAACACUCCAGCCUUAGAUUUCAUACAAGGUCAAGCAAGUGUUGAAUCUGUAUAUCAUCUAAUCCAAAAGCAACACACAUAAAUUAUGCUGAAUCCUCACAAAUAAAAUGUAUAAAAUGAUUAAUAAACAGCACUAUCCUCCUUGC
Long non-coding RNA from Eriocheir sinensis (Chinese mitten crab), 1736 nucleotides. RefSeq lists it as uncharacterized. Lineage: Eukaryota; Metazoa; Arthropoda; Malacostraca; Decapoda; Varunidae. The record is from RefSeq and is a predicted model, not a curated record. The transcript has 9 exons.